CCUACGGGAGGCAGCAGUAGGGAAUAUUGCUCAAUGGGGGAAACCCUGAAGCAGCAACGCCGCGUGGAGGAUGAAGGUUUUCGGAUUGUAAACUCCUUUUGUUAGAGAAGAUAAUGACGGUAUCUAACGAAUAAGCAACGGCUAACUCCGUGCCAGCAGCCGCGGUAAUACGGAGGGUGCAAGCGUUACUCGGAAUCACUGGGCGUAAAGAGCGCGUAGGCGGGAUAGCAAGUCGGAUGUGAAAUCCUAUGGCUUAACCAUAGAACUGCAUUUGAAACUGUUAUUCUAGAGUAUGGGAGAGGUAGGUGGAAUUCUUGGUGUAGCGGUAAAAUGCGUAGAGAUCAAGAGGAAUACUGAUUGCGAAGGCGACCUGCUAGAACAUAACUGACGCUGAUGCGCGAAAGCGUGGGGAGCAAACAGGAUUAGAUACCCCGGUAGUC
Molecule: ribosomal RNA, 440 nt
Filed under: uncultured bacterium
Lineage: Bacteria
Description: partial 16S ribosomal RNA
Rfam family: Bacterial small subunit ribosomal RNA
Source: RNAcentral